This 1443-nucleotide ribosomal RNA is filed under the name uncultured organism. Its description in RNAcentral is "16S ribosomal RNA". It matches the Rfam family "Bacterial small subunit ribosomal RNA". The record is from RNAcentral.
CUAGCUACAGGCUUAACACAUGCAAGUCGAGGGGCAGCAUGGUCUUAGCUUGCUAAGGCCGAUGGCGACCGGCGCACGGGUGAGUAACACGUAUCCAACCUGCCGUCUACUCUUGGACAGCCUUCUGAAAGGAAGAUUAAUACAAGAUGGCAUCAUGAGUCCGCAUGUUCACAUGAUUAAAGGUAUUCCGGUAGACGAUGGGGAUGCGUUCCAUUAGAUAGUAGGCGGGGUAACGGCCCACCUAGUCUUCGAUGGAUAGGGGUUCUGAGAGGAAGGUCCCCCACAUUGGAACUGAGACACGGUCCAAACUCCUACGGGAGGCAGCAGUGAGGAAUAUUGGUCAAUGGGCGAGAGCCUGAACCAGCCAAGUAGCGUGAAGGAUGACUGCCCUAUGGGUUGUAAACUUCUUUUAUAAAGGAAUAAAGUCGGGUAUGGAUACCCGUUUGCAUGUACUUUAUGAAUAAGGAUCGGCUAACUCCGUGCCAGCAGCCGCGGUAAUACGGAGGAUCCGAGCGUUAUCCGGAUUUAUUGGGUUUAAAGGGAGCGUAGAUGGAUGUUUAAGUCAGUUGUGAAAGUUUGCGGCUCAACCGUAAAAUUGCAGUUGAUACUGGAUAUCUUGAGUGCAGUUGAGGCAGGCGGAAUUCGUGGUGUAGCGGUGAAAUGCUUAGAUAUCACGAAGAACUCCGAUUGCGAAGGCAGCCUGCUAAGCUGCAACUGACAUUGAGGCUCGAAAGUGUGGGUAUCAAACAGGAUUAGAUACCCUGGUAGUCCACACGGUAAACGAUGAAUACUCGCUGUUUGCGAUAUACUGCAAGCGGCCAAGCGAAAGCGUUAAGUAUUCCACCUGGGGAGUACGCCGGCAACGGUGAAACUCAAAGGAAUUGACGGGGGCCCGCACAAGCGGAGGAACAUGUGGUUUAAUUCGAUGAUACGCGAGGAACCUUACCCGGGCUUAAAUUGCAGAUGAAUUACGGUGAAAGCCGUAAGCCGCAAGGCAUCUGUGAAGGUGCUGCAUGGUUGUCGUCAGCUCGUGCCGUGAGGUGUCGGCUUAAGUGCCAUAACGAGCGCAACCCUUGUUGUCAGUUACUAACAGGUUCCGCUGAGGACUCUGACAAGACUGCCAUCGUAAGAUGUGAGGAAGGUGGGGAUGACGUCAAAUCAGCACGGCCCUUACGUCCGGGGCUACACACGUGUUACAAUGGGGGGUACAGAGGGCCGCUACCACGCGAGUGGAUGCCAAUCCCCAAAACCUCUCUCAGUUCGGACUGGAGUCUGCAACCCGACUCCACGAAGCUGGAUUCGCUAGUAAUCGCGCAUCAGCCACGGCGCGGUGAAUACGUUCCCGGGCCUUGUACACACCGCCCGUCAAGCCAUGGGAGCCGGGGGUACCUGAAGUGCGUAACCGCGAGGAGCGCCCUAGGGUAAAACUGGUGACUGGGGCUA